CCUACGGGUGGCAGCAGUGAGGAAUAUUGGUCAAUGGGCGAGAGCCUGAACCAGCCAAGUCGCGUGAAGGAUGACGGCCCUACGGGUUGUAAACUUCUUUUGUCAGGGAGCAAUUGGGUCCACGCGUGGGCUUAGCGAGAGUAACUGAAGAAAAAGCAUCGGCUAACUCCGUGCCAGCAGCCGCGGUAAUACGGAGGAUGCUAGCGUUAUCCGGAUUUGUUGGGUUUAAAGGGUGCGGAGGCGGAAUAUCAAGUCAGCGGUAAAAAUUCGGGGGACAACCCCGUCGUGCCGUUGAAACUGAUGUUGUUGAGAGGGCGAGUAGGAUGCGGAAUGAGUGGUGUAGCGGUGGAAGGCAUAGAUAUCACGCAGAACUCCGAUUGCGAAGGCAGCAUACCGGCGCCCAACUGACGCUGAAGCACGAAAGCGUGGGUAUCGAACAGGAUUAGAUACCCUUGUAGUC
This 460-nucleotide ribosomal RNA is filed under the name uncultured bacterium. Its description in RNAcentral is "partial 16S ribosomal RNA". It matches the Rfam family "Bacterial small subunit ribosomal RNA", at positions 338 to 795 of the family's 1533-position model. The record is from RNAcentral.